Molecule: long non-coding RNA, 752 nt
Filed under: Chloebia gouldiae (Gouldian finch)
Lineage: Eukaryota; Metazoa; Chordata; Aves; Passeriformes; Passeridae
Description: Erythrura gouldiae (Gouldian finch) lncRNA (ENSEGOG00005014266.1)
Source: RNAcentral
UCUCUGAGCAUUAUCUUCUAGUCUCAGCAGAAAAGCAGUGGUGUAAUUAACAGCUUCAUUAAUGCCAGAGUAAUUAUGAACUACAGGAAUGGCUGUUGCAUCAGGAAUUCUUCUUGUAGAACUGCAGCAACUUUUUGAUUCUUCACAACUCAGGAGAAACAUAAAGGUAUAUUCACCACUGGUGAUGCUGAAUGGUUCAGCACAGCUUCCACACAGCGUGCCUUGGUUCCCCUGCGCAGCACCACAAACAGCUUCACGAGCACGGAGCAGGGACCACUCCUGUGCCCAGGGCUGGGGAGAGCUGGGGCUGCUGCCAAGGAAAAGUCUUUGCAACUGCUGCCAGCUAAUCAGGUAAAUGCUUCCAGCCUGCCCAGGCCAAGCCGUGUCCUUUGCUAUUCUCCAAAUAUUUAUGUCUUUGUGAAACACAUAAACAUUUCAUCAGAGGUCUCUUAUUCCCGGCAUUUCAUGUGAAGUUUUUGUUUCCAUGCUCCUAAACCCUCUCCAAUCUGACUAAUUCACACUAGGGAAGUUCUUGACUUGCCUUACAAGAGUCACAGAGCCCCAGAACCCAAUCCAGAGAUCCAAAUCCCCAGAAUCCAAAUCUCCAGAUCCACAUCCACACAGGGAAAGGAUGGGAAAUGGUGACAAACUUCUGCACUGCUGUAUGUUCCCUACCUGCAGCUGAAGAUUCUUACUCCUCUUUUUCCUUCUUUUUUCCUCCGCCCUCCAUCGAAAAGUGUUUGCCUCUGAAC